UACGUAGGGGGCAAGCGUUGUCCGGAAUCAUUGGGCGUAAAGAGCGUGUAGGCGGUCCGGUAAGUCGGAUGUGAAAUCCCCAGGCUUAACCUGGGAACUGCAUCCGAUACUGGAUGGCUUGAAUCCGGGAGAGGGAUGCAGAAUUCCAGGUGUAGCGGUGAAAUGCGUAGAUAUCUGGAGGAAUACCGGUGGCGAAGGCGGCAUCCUGGACCGGCAUUGACGCUGAGUGAGCGAAAGCCAGGGGAGCAAACGGG
RNAcentral lists this ribosomal RNA (254 nucleotides) under uncultured bacterium. RNAcentral's name for it is "partial 16S ribosomal RNA". It matches the Rfam family "Bacterial small subunit ribosomal RNA", at positions 524 to 776 of the family's 1533-position model. The record is from RNAcentral.